This 2964-nucleotide long non-coding RNA is filed under the name Betula platyphylla (Asian white birch). Lineage: Eukaryota; Viridiplantae; Streptophyta; Magnoliopsida; Fagales; Betulaceae. The record is from RNAcentral.
AGAUCCCCUUUCUUCCUCUCCCCUUUCUUUUGAUCUGCGAGGAGAUCCUGAGCGGCACGAGCAAGCGAGAGGACGAGAGGUGAGAGAGCUCUGCGUUUAGGGUUUGUGAAAGUCCCACAGAGAUUUCCCAAAAGGGGGCAGAGAGAGUGAGAGAUUUAGAGAGACGAGAGAGAGAUUGUCUUUUUGUGUGUGGUCUAGGGUUUCUCGCUUCUCUUUUGUUACACCGAAGCCAUCUCCGACUCUCUCAUGGACCGAAAGCUUGUGGUUAGCUCUUUUUUUUUUUCUUUUCUUUUUUGAAUUUUAUUCAUUUUCGUAUGAAUUAAUAUCUAUAGGAUGUAAAAAAAUUAAUUUUAAUAUCUAUAGGUUCUGGGAAUUAACGGUGUAGAUGAUCAGCACAGGUUUUUCUCAAUCUGUCUCUGAUUAUGACUUCUCGAUUACUAAUUUUUAUUAAAAUACUCUGGGGCUUUCGAUCUAUAUGAUGUCUUAUUUUGUUUGCAAUUUUUUAAUUACAAAAUGGAUAAACUUUGUGGGGUUUAAUGAAAGUUUAUAGGGCUCUUAAAAAAUAUAUUUUUAGGAGGUUUUAAGAAAAUGUCCGACUUGGGUUCUGUUUGUUUGUUUUGCUUGUAUUUUGAUGCUAUUUUGUCUGUGUUUAUUUCGUGGUUUAGUUCACGCAUGUAUUUGGGAAUAUAGAGAGACAGGGUUUUUGGUUUUGGAAAUUUAACAUGUUUUGGUAUAACUUUCUAGGAUAGUGUUGUGUGGUAAUUCGUUUUUGUGUAUCAUAUUUUCUGGGUUUUUCUUUUUAUUAUUGCUCUUACACAUGCCUCUCACCAGGUGUUUUUACAGUUUGUCUAUGUAAAGUUGUUUGCCUAAGUUAUAGUUCCCUUACAUAAAUUUUUAUUGCGUGUUUCGUAUCACAUCAUUGUCGAUUUUUGAUGGUUACUAGAGAUCUUUUGUGCUUACGCAUGUGUCUCUGUACUUCCUCAUUUACUCGGUAUUAUCUCAUGAAGACAUUAAUAUAUACUACUUUCUGUCCUUUGUUUUGUGCCAUAAAAUUUUUGUAGUCAACAUUCACCUGGUUGGAGCAUGUUUGAACAUCUAUUGAAACUGAUUAAAUUAUAACUGUUUGUGAAUGUGGACUAUAAUUGUUAGCUUGGACUAUGAGACCAGUUGGAAGUCAUAAUUAGAAGUUCUCUCAAUAAGUUGAAGCAGCUUCGGCACCAAAUAAAUCUUGAAAAUUGAUCCCGUGUCAUUAGUUUUGAAAAUUAAACAGAGAAAAAAGAAAGAAUAGCCUUUUCUUUCCAUGAACCUAUGCUUCUGUAUAGAACAUGCUUGGAUAUAAAUCAAAUAUUUGAUGCCAGAACUCAUUCUUAUAAAGUUAUAUUGCAAGGUGUUAAUUUGAUGUCCUGGAAGCUCAUCCCUGCCACGACAUGUGUAGUCUACUUAGUUUUCUUAAUUAAUAGCCUAAAUUAGUUGCUGCCUGUUUUAGUUUUUGUUAUUUUUUUCUUACAUGUCACUGGAAAUUCUAUUAGUGUACUUGAUUUUAUUUGUUUUUUGUCUCCACGAAGGUGUCGUUUUCUUUUAGUUGGUCUAUCAUAAUUUUUUAUGCAUCUUAAACAAUUGCUUGAUUCAUAAACUACCCUCUUUUAACAUUAUUGCAGAAAAUUAAUUAAUCAAAGGGCAUCCUUGUCCCUUGCUCCUAUACAAUGCAACUUUUUGCUUUUUAUUGUUUGCUUUGGUAUGUUAAAUAUUGUGUUGGGAAUAUAACCUUCGAAGUGAACUCAAUGUGUUCAAUAAAAUUGUUUUCUUCUUUAUAUAUAAAAUAUCAAUAAAUGGGAACCAGACAUUGAGUGGUCAAACAUCUUACUUUAAUUAAUUUUAAUAUGCUUAUACAAUGGCCAGUCUUGAUGGCCAUGCUAGGUCUUUUAUUUUCCUCACUUUCUUUUCUUUUCUUUUCUGUUCUUUUUCUUUUAUGGUGAAUUAGUUGAUUUCAUAUUAAUGUGCUUAAGUCUUUGUUGGAAGUGUGAAAAGAGAUAUAUAGAUGCUUAGAUCUGAUGAAUUUAGUUUGAUGGCAAGAGAAAAAUACGACUUGCAGUUUUGAAUUUUGAUGAAGAUUGUUUCUGGGUAGAUUAUGUUUUCUAACAGGAAACAUGUAGUUUUAAUUUUUAAUUUUGGGGAAUAUGGUUUUGUACUAUGCGAAUAAGAUCUCUUCUUGUAAGUUCCCAUCCUCUUCCAUCAACUUUGUUGUUUUUGAACCCAAUAAUUUUUUAUUACAAAUUUCUGCAGAAUUUUUUAUUUUAUUUUAUUUUAUUGUGCUUUUAAAUUAUGAGAGCCACCUUGACUAGAAUAAAAGAGUUGGCUUAUGAAUAAAUAAUAGUGACAUAUAUGAUUUGUAUGAAAUUUCUCAAAUUCGAAGGUUUGUAUAUCUUUCAUUUUUUGUAUUGUCACUGAGCAAAGGUCUGUCGUCUUUGAUUGAAACCGAAAUUGAUCAUGUUUGUUAGAUUUGAGAUAAGUCAAAACUGAGGGGAUGUUGUGCGAUUAAAGAGGUCUUUAUAUGUACAUAAAUAAAAGGUAACAUCUUUUUUAAUGCUAACAAAUUGUAUCGCUUAUUGUGAGGUGUUUAUAAGGAUUUGUUGUUGAUUUUUGUUUGUUUUGUAAUUGAUUUGUAUUAGCAUUUUAGCUAGCUGAUUGGGAGAUUUAAGACCGAAGAAAGCAGUUCGUGAAUUGGUGACUUGCAAUGAAAUUGGGGAGAAGAGGGACUUGCACAAAAUGGCCCAUUAACUGGACAAUAUGAUAGUUAACUUGGUGAUGGCUUUUCAAAUUCAUGCUCGAUUUGCUGGUAAUAAUUGACAGAAGAAGCUCCGAUUCCUUCUACCACCAUCACUUUUUGGACUCGUGUUCUUUAGUGUGUACUCACAUUCUUAUGCAAUGAGUCGCAGAUGAGAGAGAGAGACAGAGACAGAGACG